RNAcentral lists this long non-coding RNA (794 nucleotides) under Trifolium pratense (red clover). RNAcentral's name for it is "long non-coding RNA (TPRA_LNC006345)". Lineage: Eukaryota; Viridiplantae; Streptophyta; Magnoliopsida; Fabales; Fabaceae. The record is from RNAcentral.
UUUCAUAUCAAGUAUUUACCAAGAAUAAUGCUAUUGCAAUGCAUUUCUCUAAUAUAGUACUAAAGAAUUAUUAAUUAAGGCAUAUAAGUUCAAUGGAAACAUUACAGACUGCUUCUUGCCAAAUGACCUGAGGUAGUGCAAGGGGAAAAAAAACAAGGUUCAUUCCUUAGUGCCUAAAACACAAUAUCACAGAAGACCAAAACUGAAAAAUAGCAGAACAACACUUAUACAAAGACUCCAUAGAGCAAAAUAUAGACCUUGCACUUACACUACAAUUUACAAAUCAGCACAGGCCUCCUAAAAACUAAAAACCAGUUACAAGAACAAGCCAAAAUCAUCGCAUUAAACAUCAAAAAUAGCAGAACAACACUUAUACAAAGACUCCAUAGAGCAAAAUAUAGACCUUGCACUUACACUACAAUUUACAAAUCAAAAUAGGCCUCCUAAAAACUAAAAACCAGUUACAAGAACAAGCCAAAAUCAUCGCAUUAAACAAUUUUCGGGAACAAUGAAAGGAAAAUCUUCCGCCGACUCAACCCCAUCACCACGAGAUGAGUUUUAUAUCUUCACGACAUGAGGAGAACAUAUAUUGGAAUAUUGAAAUUAUUAAUUAAGCUAUUCCACUAUCAUGAAUAUUAAAUAUAGUUGCUGCAAAAAGAGUAAUGCUAAAAUAUCCUACUCCAUGACAAAACUCAGAAACAAUUCAAAAGUUGAACUCAAUAAUUAUUCAUCUUGGAUUCAAAGACAAAACCAUUAAGUACAUAUAAUGAUUUUGGAGUAAAACUCUCUGAAAC